UACGUAGGGUGCGAGCGUUAAUCGGAAUUACUGGGCGUAAAGCGUGCGUAGGCGGUUGGCAAAGUCAGCUGUGAAAUCCCCGGGCUUAACCUGGGAAUGGCGUUUGAAGCUACGGAGCUGGAGUGUGGCAGAGGGAGGUAGAAUUCCACGUGUAGCGGUGAAAUGCGUAGAUAUGUGGAGGAACACCGGUGGCGAAGGCGGCCACCUGGACGGUAACUGACGCUGAGACGCGAAAGCGUGGGUAGCAAACAGG
This 253-nucleotide ribosomal RNA is filed under the name uncultured bacterium. Its description in RNAcentral is "partial 16S ribosomal RNA". It matches the Rfam family "Bacterial small subunit ribosomal RNA", at positions 524 to 776 of the family's 1533-position model. The record is from RNAcentral.